RNAcentral lists this ribosomal RNA (759 nucleotides) under uncultured bacterium. RNAcentral describes it as "bacterial SSU rRNA". It matches the Rfam family "Bacterial small subunit ribosomal RNA", at positions 57 to 790 of the family's 1533-position model. The record is from RNAcentral.
GCAGUCGACGCUUCUUUUUCCCCGGAGCUUGCUCCACCGGAAAAAGAGGAGUGGCGAACGGGUGAGUAACACGUGGGUAACCUGCCCAUCAGAAGGGGAUAACACUUGGAAACAGGUGCUAAUACCGUAUAACAAUCAAAACCGCAUGGUUUUGAUUUGAAAGGCGCUUUCGGGUGUCGCUGAUGGAUGGACCCGCGGUGCAUUAGCUAGUUGGUGAGGUAACGGCUCACCAAGGCCACGUUGCAUAGCCGACCUGAGAGGGUGAUCGGCCACAUUGGGACUGAGACACGGCCCAAACUCCUACGGGAGGCAGCAGUAGGGAAUCUUCGGCAAUGGACGAAAGUCUGACCGAGCAACGCCGCGUGAGUGAAGAAGGUUUUCGGAUCGUAAAACUCUGUUGUUAGAGAAGAACAAGGAUGAGAGUAACUGUUCAUCCCUUGACGGUAUCUAACCAGAAAGCCACGGCUAACUACGUGCCAGCAGCCGCGGUAAUACGUAGGUGGCAAGCGUUGUCCGGAUUUAUUGGGCGUAAAGCGAGCGCAGGCGGUUUCUUAAGUCUGAUGUGAAAGCCCCCGGCUCAACCGGGGAGGGUCAUUGGAAACUGGGAGACUUGAGUGCAGAAGAGGAGAGUGGAAUUCCAUGUGUAGCGGUGAAAUGCGUAGAUAUAUGGAGGAACACCAGUGGCGAAGGCGGCUCUCUGGUCUGUAACUGACGCUGAGGCUCGAAAGCGUGGGGAGCAAACAGGAUUAGAUACCCUGG